Molecule: non-coding RNA, 106 nt
Organism: Delphinella strobiligena
Lineage: Eukaryota; Fungi; Ascomycota; Dothideomycetes; Dothideales; Dothioraceae
Source: the annotation of a GenBank genome assembly
GCCGCUUUAGCUCAUCUGGGAGAGCGCCAGACUGAAGUCCAACUUUGGUUCUUACUAGCAACAGCUAGUAUUCUGGAGGCACUGUGUUCGAUCCACAGAAGCGGCA